This 2221-nucleotide ribosomal RNA is filed under the name Coccocarpia palmicola. Its description in RNAcentral is "16S ribosomal RNA". It matches the Rfam family "Bacterial large subunit ribosomal RNA", at positions 433 to 2725 of the family's 2925-position model. Lineage: Eukaryota; Fungi; Ascomycota; Lecanoromycetes; Peltigerales; Coccocarpiaceae. The record is from RNAcentral.
UCUGUUUGAAUAUAAAGGGGAACCUUCCUCUAAGGCUAAAUAUGAUAUAUAAGCGAUAGUGAGUAGUACCGUGAGGGAAAGGAUGAAAUAGUAGUUUUAUAAGCAGCUCAAUUUAAAAUUUAAAUAAAAAAAAAGAGCGUACCUUUUGCAUAAUGGGUCAGCAAGUUAAUAUUAGAUGCGAGCGUAUACGCAAAGAUAAAACAAUUAUGGAGGAGUGAUAAGUAUCUAAAAUUAGACCCGAAGCCUAGUGAUCUUACCAUGAUCAGGGUUAUAAAAGCUCGAACGGGUUAUCGUUGUAAAGAUAUCCGAAGAAUUGUGGUAAGUUGGUGAAAGACAAUACUGACUAGGAUAGCUGGUUUUCCGCGAAACCUAUGUGAGUAGGUAAUUUUAAUUACAUCUUGGGAGGUACAUGAUUGUGAUCUCAUACAACUAACGUUUUUAAACGUUAUUUUUUGUAUACAUUGGGGGGUCGUGAAGAUUCUAUCAGUGAGAUUUUGUUCUCGGAAGGACUAAUGAUGAAUAUUAAAUAAUCAGACAUAGUACGCUAAGGUUGUAUGUCUAAAGGGAAACAGCCCAAAACAAGAGUUAAUAAGGUUCCUAAAUUAUUUUUAAGUGAAAUUAAGGAAGUUUCUUUCUAAUACGGCCAGGAAAUAGGCUUAGAAGCGGCCAUUUUUUAAAGACCUCGUAAAAGAGCACUGGUUUAAUCUGAAAUAAACACCGAUGAUUUAACGGAUCUAAAAAAAUAUACCGAGACCUUGUCCAUAUUUGUAUAUAUAUGGUAUCAUAUUUUGUAUUUAUGGGGUAGCGGAACGUUGGGCAAAUCUCAGAUUAGUUCUUUUUAAGAACUAAAAUUAGAUAUCCCAAGUGAUAAUGCUGACAUGAGUAACGAUAAAGUAAAAGUUUACUUUUACUCGCCUGAAGCUUAUGGAAUUCACUUAAAGUAACGGCCUCUAAGUUUAUGUUAAAAUUGGUUAUUAGCUAAACCAAGUGAAUUAAACGAUGAGUAAAUCUAGUGAGUUUAUGUCAUAAAUAACAUUUAUGCAUUAUAUUGUGCAUAUAGUGAUAAAUGUUCUGGAAAAUGAAGAUGAAUAAUCUAAAUAAAAAAAAACACUUGCAAGUAGUAGAGAGAAAGCGAGCAGUCUUUUUAUUUAAACUCUAAAUGAAAAAAAAACGCUUAUUAGUAGUAGAGAGAAAGUAAGUAGUCUUUUUAUUUAUAUUCAACCGUACCUAAGAUCUACCACAAGUAAGCAAGUAGAGAAUACGAAGGCGUUCGAGUGAACAAUCAUUAAGGAACUCGGCAAAUUAACUCACGUAACUUUGGGAUAAGGUGGGCCAUUUCACUUGAUUAAUACAAGAUUGGAAGAGGAGGCACAGAAUGGUGUUGUACGACUGUUUAAUUAAAACAAAGCACACUGCAAACACAUAGUUGGAAGUAUAGGGUGUGAUUUCUGCCCUAUGGCGGCAGGGUAUCGAAUUUACUUAGGUGAAAUGAGAUGAAUUCACAGAUUCAUAAGAGCUUUAGUUAGAUUAAGGUUUUUAAUUUUAAAUAAGGUUUCUUUUCUGAUCGUAAUAGAUUGGAUAUAAUUAAGGUUAGGUUUUGAAGUCAAACCCCGUUCAAUGGCGGCUUUAACCUUGAGGGUCCUAAGGUAGCGGAAUACCUUGGCCGUUAAAUGCGGUCUUUGCAUGAAUGAUGUAACGAUACAACAGCUGUCUCAAUGAUUGGCUCGGUGAAAUUGGAAUAGCUGUGCAGAUACAGUUUACCUCUAGUUAGACGAGAAGACCCUAUGCAGCUUUACUGUUGCUAGUUAUUAAGUGUGAUAUUCAAUUUACAAGAGUAGAAGGUAAUCUAUAAGAUAGAAGUGUAACACCUUUAUUUUGGGAUCACAUUACAAUUCUUUACCGUUAUAUAAUUAAUGGUGCAGUUGCUGGGUGGCAGUUUAUGCGGGGCACAGAUCCCAUAUAUAGUAGCAACAGGCUAAUAGCGCAAGAGAGCUCAAAUUGGGUGCGCUGUUUGGCACCUCGAUGUCGGCUUAGCUCAUCCACAUGAAUGUAAGGGUUAUGUAAGGUGCGACUGUUCGUCGAUUAAAGAGCUACACGAGCUGGGUUAAAUACGUUGUGAGACAGUAUGGUUUCUAUCUUCUAGAGGAAAUUAGAAUAAAAUAAGGAGAGCUUCCUCGUACGAAAGGAGCUGAAGAUGUUAACCUAUGGUUUACCUGUUGUU